AUUUUACAGUGUACAGUUUAUCAGUUUGGAAUGAGAUGUACCAAUCGGCAUUAGAAUUAUCAGAUCCCUUCGAUACCGUUGAAAAUAGCCGAGCCAAUCACCUGCAACAACGCCAAAACAGUAUUGGAAAGUCUCAUUAUUUUUUGCGUUCAUAGACCAUAUGAUAUGGCAACUGGAGAGUGGAGUCGCGUCAAGUUAUCAGAAAAUCGUUUCUUUGUGCUGUAUCUCACGGCUUCGUCGUGUUGUAGGAAAUAUCACAAACGAACAAAUCUCAAUAUUGUCUGAAACAUACGAAACUGACCUAGCAUGUAAUUUUGACGAAUUCAAUUGGGAGGUCGCUCGAUGCCGAACACGUACGCUGGUUUAUAACAUCUCGCGAGUGCUACCAUGCCAUGCUGGCCCUGAGAUCAA
RNAcentral lists this long non-coding RNA (411 nucleotides) under Mytilus galloprovincialis (Mediterranean mussel). Lineage: Eukaryota; Metazoa; Mollusca; Bivalvia; Mytilida; Mytilidae. The record is from RNAcentral.